UGAACGCUAGCUACAGGCUUAACACAUGCAAGUCGAGGGGCAGCAUGGUCUUAGCUUGCUAAGGCCGAUGGCGACCGGCGCACGGGUGAGUAACACGUAUCCAACCUGCCGUCUACUCUUGGACAGCCUUCUGAAAGGAAGAUUAAUACAAGAUGGCAUCAUGAGUCCGCAUGUUCACAUGAUUAAAGGUAUUCCGGUAGACGAUGGGGAUGCGUUCCAUUAGAUAGUAGGCGGGGUAACGGCCCACCUAGUCUUCGAUGGAUAGGGGUUCUGAGAGGAAGGUCCCCCACAUUGGAACUGAGACACGGUCCAAACUCCUACGGGAGGCAGCAGUGAGGAAUAUUGGUCAAUGGGCGAGAGCCUGAACCAGCCAAGUAGCGUGAAGGAUGACUGCCCUAUGGGUUGUAAACUUCUUUUAUAAAGGAAUAAAGUCGGGUAUGGAUACCCGUUUGCAUGUACUUUAUGAAUAAGGAUCGGCUAACUCCGUGCCAGCAGCCGCGGUAAUACGGAGGAUCCGAGCGUUAUCCGGAUUUAUUGGGUUUAAAGGGAGCGUAGAUGGAUGUUUAAGUCAGUUGUGAAAGUUUGCGGCUCAACCGUAAAAUUGCAGUUGAUACUGGAUAUCUUGAAUGCAGUUGAGGCAGGCGGAAUUCGUGGUGUAGCGGUGAAAUGCUUAGAUAUCACGAAGAACUCCGAUUGCGAAGGCAGCCUGCUAAGCUGCAACUGACAUUGAGGCUCGAAAGUGUGGGUAUCAAACAGGAUUAGAUACCCUGGUAGUCCACACGGUAAACGAUGAAUACUCGCUGUUUGCGAUAUACUGCAAGCGGCCAAGCGAAAGCGUUAAGUAUUCCACCUGGGGAGUACGCCGGCAACGGUGAAACUCAAAGGAAUUGACGGGGGCCCGCACAAGCGGAGGAACAUGUGGUUUAAUUCGAUGAUACGCGAGGAACCUUACCCGGGCUUAAAUUGCAGAUGAAUUACGGUGAAAGCCGUAAGCCGCAAGGCAUCUGUGAAGGUGCUGCAUGGUUGUCGUCAGCUCGUGCCGUGAGGUGUCGGCUUAAGUGUCAUAACGAGCGCAACCCUUGUUGUCAGCUACUAACAGGUUCCGCUGAGGACUCUGACAAGACUGCCAUCGUAAGAUGUGAGGAAGGUGGGGAUGACGUCAAAUCAGCACGGCCCUUACGUCCGGGGCUACACACGUGUUACAAUGGGGGGUACAGAGGGCCGCUACCACGCGAGUGGAUGCCAAUCCCCAAAACCUCUCUCAGUUCGGACUGGAGUCUGCAACCCGACUCCACGAAGCUGGAUUCGCUAGUAAUCGCGCAUCAGCCACGGCGCGGUGAAUACGUUCCCGGGCCUUGUACACACCGCCCGUCAAGCCAUGGGAGCCGGGGGUACCUGAAGUGCGUAACCGCGAGGAGCGCCCUAGGGUAAAACUGGUGACUGGGGC
This 1447-nucleotide ribosomal RNA is filed under the name uncultured organism. RNAcentral describes it as "SSU rRNA". It matches the Rfam family "Bacterial small subunit ribosomal RNA". The record is from RNAcentral.